GGUUGCUGAAAAUAAUAUGUUAAAGAUGAUUUUAUAUGUAACCAACCAGGGAGUAAAGAACUCUGGCAUGCAGAGCUCUGAUGAUUCUGUGUAUGUGUGUAGAAGGGUGUUAAUGUAGAAAGUUAAGAAGAACAUUGUUUACGGGAAAUUUUAACUGCAAUCCUUUUAUGAGCAUAUUUCUCUACAGGAAGGAUAUACAAAAUUAUACCACAACUAUAAGCUUCUAGGAAGUGUAAGACAUUCAUUUAUAAGAUGUACAUUGGAGCUGCCAAGUAUUAAACAAGAUAAAGAGAUCCCCACCCACGAGAUAUGCUGAGACUGUAGGACAUGGAUGUGGACGGCAAGCUUUCAAAACUGCCAGAGAGUGUCCAGACAGCAGAGAAGUUCUGUACCUGGGUCUGGAGGUGGAGGGCAAGAACAGCACCUGCAUCAACGGAGUCACUUCUGGAUUCCACACUGAAGUUCACAUAAGAAAAACAUUCUGAAAAUACUUCUUCAUCUUUAUCUCUGCACAAUAGCUCAGUUUUGAGUCCCUUUUUAUGUGUGACAGUCUAUAGCGGAGCUCUUCUGUGAAAUUUCACAUUGAUCCCAACAUUACAACUUAUCUGACACUUUACACUUUUAUCUUCUUGAAGGAAGAAUACACUGUCACCAAAUAAACUUGUUAAUAAAGUGA
Molecule: long non-coding RNA, 676 nt
Organism: Myotis lucifugus (little brown bat)
Lineage: Eukaryota; Metazoa; Chordata; Mammalia; Chiroptera; Vespertilionidae
Exons: 2
Source: RefSeq, a predicted model, not a curated record